RNAcentral lists this ribosomal RNA (245 nucleotides) under uncultured Anoxybacter sp. RNAcentral's name for it is "partial 16S ribosomal RNA". It matches the Rfam family "Bacterial small subunit ribosomal RNA", at positions 524 to 768 of the family's 1533-position model. The record is from RNAcentral. Lineage: Bacteria; Bacillati; Bacillota; Clostridia; Halanaerobiales.
UACGUAGGGAGCAAGCGUUGUCCGGAAUUAUUGGGCGUAAAGGGCGCGUAGGCGGCCCGGUAAGUCAAAUGUGAAAUACAGCGGCUUAACCGCUGGGGUGCGUUUGAAACUGUCGGGCUUGAGUACAGGAGAGGAGAGUGGAAUUCCUGGUGUAGUGGUGAAAUACGUAGAUAUCAGGAAGAACACCGGUGGCGAAGGCGGCUCUCUGGCCAUGUACUGACGCUGAGGCGCGAAAGCGUGGGGAG